Molecule: non-coding RNA, 204 nt
Filed under: Fructilactobacillus fructivorans
Lineage: Bacteria; Bacillati; Bacillota; Bacilli; Lactobacillales; Lactobacillaceae
Description: Lactobacillus fructivorans T-box sequence
Rfam family: T-box leader
About the family: Uncharged tRNA acts as the effector for transcription antitermination of genes in the T-box leader family. T-boxes are found upstream of many aminoacyl-tRNA synthetase genes and some amino acid biosynthetic genes usually in Gram-positive bacteria.
Source: RNAcentral
UUAAAUGCAUUGACCAAGAGUUUAAUUGUUAGGGCACACAGAGAGUGAAUGAAAGCUGAGAAAUUCAUGUGUUAAAACGAUUAAUGUUGCUUGUGAGCAGUUAUGUUGAAUUAAUAAAGAUGUAAUCGGUACUAGCCGUUAUCUAGUUAAGUUGGAAUUAGUAAUAAUUCAAUUUAGGUGGUACCGCGAGCAUUCGUCCUAUUC